Paramisgurnus dabryanus is the source of this 1753-nucleotide non-coding RNA. NCBI's taxonomy places the organism in Eukaryota, Metazoa, Chordata, Actinopteri, Cypriniformes, Cobitidae. The record is from RefSeq and is a predicted model, not a curated record.
CUUCUCCAGGCCAAACUGGAGAAGUGUUCAAAGAAAAUUGAGGCGGUUGCUAAUUGGCAGCCGCCUCAGCAUGUCUCAGAACUUCGGCCCUUUUGGGGUUUUGCCAGUUAUUACAGAAGGUUUGUGGAGGGUUUUGCUAAGCUGGCUGCCCCACUUCAUUGUCUAGUAGCUGACCUGACCGAGGCCAAGAGAAGGAGUACAGCCCAGUCUUGCUAGGAGGCUUAGACAGAGGAGUGUCAACAAAGUUUUGAUACUUUGAAGCAGUGGUUGGUGAGCGCCCCUCUUUUGGCUUAUGCAGACUUCUCAUUGCAAUUUAUUUUAGAAGUGGAUGCAAGUUACAGCGGAUUGGGAGCAGUCCUGUCUUUGGAACAGGGAGGCAGAGUUUGACCAGUUGCUUAUGCAAGUCGAGGAUUAAGACCGUCAGAGAGGAAUAUGUCCAAUUAUAGUUCCGUGAAACUGGAAUACUUGGCCCUUAAAUGGGCAAUGAGUGAGAAAUUCCGUUUGAUUCCCAAGUUUGUUCUGGAUGCAGCAAUCGCAAUGCUGAUGCACUAUCACGACAGCACCCUGCUGGGCCUGUACUGGAUGGUAUGAUUCUAUUUGCAUGGGCUGCAGGAACCAGAUGCAGCGUUAGGAGUGUUGCUGCAGCUGUGGAGAAGGGGAAAUAUCCUUUAAGUGAAGAGCAGCAGGGGUUGUGCACGGAUACAGGUAGACUACUAAAACAGUGGAAAUGGCUAAGGAUGAAGGAUGGCGUAUUGUAUCGCCAGUGCCACCAUUCCCAGGGUGGUGAGGCCUUUCUUCAGCUUUUGCUCCCAGCAUCUUUAAAGACUGUAGUGAUGGAGCAUCUUCAUGAUGAACAUGGACAAGCAACAACGUGCCAGUUGGAAAAAUGAUACCGAAGAUAGUUUCCUUUGGCUAUAAAAAAUACGAGGUAGUCGACAAAAAACGAGUGGCAAUUUGCAAAACAUGCGGGUCGAAGAUAACAGACGGAGCUGCCACAACGUCCAACUUGAAGUUGCACAAAGAAAGGUAUGAAGAAUACCAGAUGAACAAAAGCAUCGUAGAUGAACCACAACAGCCUUCAAUCUCACAAUUCCUGGACACUCUGUAUGGCCUUACAGCAUGAGCCACCCACAGCAGAAGGCCAUCUCCAAAGCGAUACUGUCUGACUUGAUAAUUUUCCUCUGUCAAAUGUGGAAAAUAAUGCAAGGCAUUUACGGUUUGCUUCCCCAGCGAACAGGAGGAAGAUGAUGAUGCUGGAGAUAAUCUUGAUGAUCCUGAGCUAUGGCAUGACUACUUAACCCUAGAAGACCAGCAAAACUUGGAUGCUGCAAUGGCAAAGAAACAGCGCCUGCAGUGUUUUGCACACACAUUGCAGCUGGUUGUGGGAGACGGUUUGAAAGAAAUAAAAGCGGCAUGUCCUUCUCUCUCCAAGUUAUCAAAACUUAGUUCCCUGUUCCGCACAACGUUUAAAGUCAUCUUCGAUGGUGAAUUUGGGGAGCACAGAGGCAUGCAUGCUGCAGUGAGCACGAGGUGGAAUUCCACACUGCGGCAGGUGAAAAAGCUCUGCACAGUUCUUGAGAAGGCCUUGCAUAAAGAACUGUCAUUCACACCACGAGAGUGGAAUCUGCUGAAGAAGUUGGUGGACAUUUUGAAACCUUUCGGAGACGCAACUGAUUUGACUCAGGGAGAGAAAGUCAUUACAAUCAGUGCAGUUGUUCCAUCUGUCUUGUCCCUCAAUCACCAUCUUGAGAAA